This is a transfer RNA of Felis catus (domestic cat), 85 nucleotides long. It matches the Rfam family "tRNA". Rfam says of the family: Transfer RNA (tRNA) molecules are approximately 80 nucleotides in length. Their secondary structure includes four short double-helical elements and three loops (D, anti-codon, and T loops). The record is from Rfam. Lineage: Eukaryota; Metazoa; Chordata; Mammalia; Carnivora; Felidae.
GCCUGGGUGGCUCAAUCAGUUGAGCAUCUGACUUCAACUCAGGUCAUGAUCUCACAGUUUGUGAGUUCAAGCCCCGCAUCAGGCU